CCCUUAGAUGUUCUGGGCCGCACGCGCGCUACACUGAUGCAUUCAACGAGCACCCGCUGGGCCGAGAGGUUCGGCUAAUCUUUGAACGUGCAUCGUGCUGGGGAUAGAUGAUUGCAAUUAUUCAUCUUCAACGAGGAAUUCCUAGUAAACGCAAGUCAUCAACUUGCAUUGAUUACGUCCCUGCCCUUUGUACACACCGCCCGUCGCACCUACCGAUUGAAUGGUCCGGUGAAGCCUCCGGAUUGGCGCGCACCUCGGUGCCGCCGAGAAGUUGGCUAAACCUUACCAUUUAGAGGAAGGUGAANUCGUANCA
This 313-nucleotide ribosomal RNA is filed under the name uncultured eukaryote. RNAcentral describes it as "partial 18S ribosomal RNA". It matches the Rfam family "Eukaryotic small subunit ribosomal RNA", at positions 1470 to 1796 of the family's 1831-position model. The record is from RNAcentral.